CGCAAACAAAACACUGCAAGAGCUCAGAAAGGUGCGUGCUGGCGUCGAGUUCAGUUGUGUAGUUUGCGACGAAGACCUUCAAGGCUAACCGCGAGAGCGGAUUGUUGUAAUUGCGACGAUCAACAGUACGGCGUCGCCAUGCACCACCUCUUACUAUCAACCGUGAGGAAUAAAGAGCUGUCGUCUUCCCACGAACCAUUUAUAACAUAGAAGCUAGCGGCGUAUUUAUUUCAGUUCCAUUACAUAAUGGAAUGCAAUCCAUGUUUCGUCGAAAUUUCCCACCAAUUAAAGGAGGAUGCAAAUUUUGAUACAUCAACGUAUUUUCAAAGGAGGGUUGUUGGAAUUUUGAAAAUAGAAUAAUGUUCUACAAGCGUUGUGAUGAAAAGUAUUUUAUGCAGGGCAACAUGUUUUACAUUUGCAUCGCAUGGUCAAGUUGGAGUUUAUUCCUAUUUCAUGAACUUGAAACAUAACAGCGCAUGAGUUUGUUAGUUUGCCUUUUUUCAAUUUUUCAGUUUCUCUUUAAACGCGUUUGGUAUUCUAUAGACGCUGUAAAAGAAAGUUCAGUUUUUAUAAACGAAUGAAGUAGACUGGUAAAUAUGGUAUAUUUUCUAAACCAUGACACAUUUUUAUUUGCAAAUAAGACUGAAUGCCUUGAAAUAGCACCUAUACCUUUAAACAGCAGGCUUUCGGGAAUGUUGUGUUUCUUUUUCUAUUCUAUUCCGUCAUCCUACAUACAUACGCAAGUAAAGUACGUACCUACUUUUGAUUGGGUUAUCUAGACUGGUAAAUAUCCAGUAACGACUACCAAUGUGACUGAGAUGCAUACGUCUGAAAUAGCAGCUAUUUUGCAUCAUAACUGGUAUGGUACACCAUGUGCGAAUUUGAGAACAAACAUUUUAAUUGCCCACCGAGAACGUAAUAUUUUCUAAAACACCGUAUUUCGGUAGCGGCAAAAGAGGGUUGCAAGGUUUUGGACCCAGGCGGGAUUGUGGACAAAAAUUAAAAACAUCUGCCCCACGCAUCCUAUUCAGCUAAAUGGUCCAAUGGAUAUUUUGUAAAGUAAACGUCGUUGCUAGGAUUUUACAAUAUUCAUACAACAUUUAUUGAUCGUAGCUAUCAAUUGUCGAUAGGGGAAAAUAUAUGAUCUUACGAAAAAGUAACAUUUAUUACUUGUGAUAAGCAUGUGAGCAACUUAAAGGUUGCAUAUUAUAGCUGUUGUAAACCUUUGUUACAUCGCAUUCCAUAGCUGACGUACUGUGUCUCGCAUGUUAGUUGUUGUUCCUACUAUUUGAAACAGUCGUAAUUUUUUGAAGAAUAAUAUGAAGAAACAGGGAUGAGAAGAUAGAAACAUUAUCCUUCCAUUGAGUUGAUGUAUUGCUUCCGUUUAACAAUCGAAUGAUAUGUCACAAUAUGCAGAAACAUUGUAUUUCCACAUCUGAUGCAAGUGCGAAUGAUCAAUGCACAGGAAUAUGUUUAGCUUAACAAUGAUGUUUUUUUGUUAUAUAGGUCAGUAAGUAAAUAUUGUAAUUUUGGCUGAA
Molecule: long non-coding RNA, 1538 nt
Organism: Anopheles cruzii
Lineage: Eukaryota; Metazoa; Arthropoda; Insecta; Diptera; Culicidae
Exons: 3
Source: RefSeq, a predicted model, not a curated record